GUGGGGAAUAUUGGACAAUGGGCGCAAGCCUGAUCCAGCCAUGCCGCGUGAGUGAUGAAGGCCCUAGGGUUGUAAAGCUCUUUCGCCAGGGACGAUAAUGACGGUACCUGGAUAAGAAGCCCCGGCUAACUUCGUGCCAGCAGCCGCGGUAAUACGAAGGGGGCUAGCGUUGUUCGGAAUCACUGGGCGUAAAGCGCACGUAGGCGGAUCUUUAAGUCAGGGGUGAAAUCCCGAGGCUCAACCUCGGAACUGCCUUUGAUACUGGAGGUCUCGAGUCCGGGAGAGGUGAGUGGAACUGCGAGUGUAGAGGUGAAAUUCGUAGAUAUUCGCAAGAACACCAGUGGCGAAGGCGGCUCACUGGCCCGGAACUGACGCUGAGGUGCGAAAGCGUGGGGAGCAAACAGGAUUAGAAACCCUAGUAGUCC
RNAcentral lists this ribosomal RNA (425 nucleotides) under uncultured bacterium. RNAcentral's name for it is "bacterial SSU rRNA". It matches the Rfam family "Bacterial small subunit ribosomal RNA", at positions 354 to 796 of the family's 1533-position model. The record is from RNAcentral.